Infundibulicybe gibba is the source of this 89-nucleotide non-coding RNA. NCBI's taxonomy places the organism in Eukaryota, Fungi, Basidiomycota, Agaricomycetes, Agaricales, Omphalinaceae. The record is from the annotation of a GenBank genome assembly.
GGCCGCCUGGCGAAAUGGCAUCGCGUCUGACUACGAUCCAUCUAUGGUGUGGUAUCAGGAGAUUGCAGGUUCGACCCCUGCGGUGGUCA